Long non-coding RNA from Pezoporus flaviventris, 2654 nucleotides. RefSeq lists it as uncharacterized. The transcript is spliced from 4 exons. The record is from RefSeq and is a predicted model, not a curated record. Lineage: Eukaryota; Metazoa; Chordata; Aves; Psittaciformes; Psittacidae.
UUCCUUGCUUUCUACCAUUUUGAUUUCUUCUUCAUGCUGCACUGACAGAUUUCCUUCUGAGAGGCAUGAUGAUGUCAACAUGUUAGGUCCUAGAGGGCAGCAAGUGGCACAUCAGGGAUUCAAAGAUGAAUCGCAGGAGCAUGGGCCCAGGGGGAGAGAUAAAGUUGUCAGGAAGUCCACGCUGUUGCCACUCUCUUGACUUGAACUGAGACUGCUGCCUCCAGUGCUGGCUCUUGGUGCAGCUCUUGGCCUCUUGCGGGAGGCUGGGACUCUCACCUGACACUGAAGAUGCUUCUGAUUUCCCCCCUAUCAAGAGCUGGUAAUGAAUCUCUGUUCAGAGUUUUCUCAAGGCAAGGCAAACAGCAAACCAAGUGUCCCUCUUUAUGCAGCAUAAAAGGGGUUCCAUGUUGACAAGUUUCACUGUGUUAAACAUGGUGAAUUAGACCUGGUUUGCUGCUGUCUUUUACACUGAUGGCACUCCAGAGAAUCCAAACAACGGGGACAGCAUCAUACAGAAAUAACAAUUUCAGGCCACAAAAGUCUCCCUUUAAUUUGCGUGUGCUGGUGGAUGCUUAAUUGCCAUUGCAAGUAAGCUGACUACUCUGGAACAUUCUUUUUCUUCCACAGCAUGUAUAGGUGUUUGUAUGUAUGUGCACUUGUGUGUGUUUCUAACUAUGUGCAAUACAUUUGCCUUCUGUCAGCUCCUUAUUCCCAGCCCUUUGGAGCCAUACCUCAGUUAGGCUUAGUGAAAGAGGGUGAUGCUGCAGUGGGGCUGUUGCUAUUGCACAUAUGUAUUCUUUGGACAGGCUUCUGAUUUCUUUUGCUGCUAAUGGGUAAUUUAGCAGAAGAUGAAACAAAGAAAUAGCUUUACGUAUGGCAUACCAAGAUGCACUGGCUGGUAGAAACAGGGUGAGCGUACAGCUAACUGAUUGCCUGGGAGUAGCCCUUUUUGUGUGUCUGAGACAAUGUUUGCGUAACUAUAUGUCUGUCUUUACCAGGCAAGGAUUAUGGGAUGUACUUGAAAGCAUUUAAAAAUGGUUUUGUUGUCUUUUUGUUGUCUUCUAACGGGGGAGAUGGUGGUGGGAUACCAUUGUCUGCAUAGGUCAGUGAAAGGAAAGGAUGAAUGAUGAGCACUGUGAUCUGUUCUUCAAACCUCUCUGAAGAAGGCAGUACUGGCAGAAGUGAGGGCAUGACUUGCCAUUCUUAUUUUAGUACUUAUUUUGGGAGUAUCAAGUCAGCUAACAUCUCUGCUCUCUGCUGAUUUCUUUUACAGAUUGCCACUCCCCCAGAAACUUUCUGGCUGCUGAGGGAAACAUCCUUCUAGAGCAUGCCUUUCCAGCGGGUCCCGCCUGAGGCUCCAGCUUUGCCUAAGCAAUCCUGAAUGAUUUUGCGCUUGUUCCGUGCUACACCUCCCGUGAUUAUUCCUGCUCAGACAGCACUGCACUGCAAGCGAUGUUCCACAGUUACUUGGGUAAUGCUGCUGUGAGCUGUCUUCCUGCCAGCCAGGUUUCUAAGCUGAGUUGAAAGCAGACUUCCAAGAGAAACCAGCUUCCAAAAACUUCCAUUAUGAGUCAGUGGUCAGACCUGUGGAGGAAAAUCGGAAAUUCAAGCCAUUUAUUUUGGACUAUAAAUGCAGUGUAAGCUUUUUGAGGCAACUUGCUCUCUUCCAGUUCCAUACAAAGAAGCGCUUGAAUAUUUGAGAUGCAGGUAAUUGCAGUGCUGAACCUGUCAAAUGAGGCUGCAGCAGCCCCACCUUAUCUGACAGCCCUGCAAAUAUGGGAGUCAACAGACAAGUCACUGGGCUGCCUAAAGCACCAGGGGGGCAGUAACCCAGUGGGUGGGCUAGCAGAGUUCUGCCCGCAGGGAAAUCGCUUUAAACACAGCCUUUUUUCCACUCUGCCUAGAGUUCAAGCACUGAAGAUGUUCUCAGUGUGAUGCAGAAAUUCAUAUGCUGAAACCACAGCUGUAGCCAUGAGGGCUGGCCUCUUCCAGAGCACAGGAAGCAUCAGCAGCUGCCUGUCAAAAAACUGCCUGGAAUGAGAUAACAGUUUGCUUCAAGCUAGUGAGGAAAAUCCAUCUUCCCUUGGUGUUGAGUGAAAGCAGUGAAGCGGGACUCCCUUCUUCCCUGGAGGCGUUUGUGAGCUGUAUUUAGAGAUAAACCAUCUGUGAUACAGACCUCAAAGCCAGAAACUCUGGCCACAAUGUUCUGUAGACUGUACAUACAACAUUUCGGGGGUAACUGCUGUAAAAAAUGGGCAGCACUGUGGUGCAGAGUUCUGCCUUCCCAUUCCAAGGUUUCUGUCUUACUUGCAUCAUGCAUCAAGCAUGUAACAUGCAGUUCAAUGGCGGUUGCUUUGGCUGGCUACACAGGCUAAAUGUAAGAGCAUUUCUGUCACUUUUGCUGUUCUGGCCACUGCUCUUCAUCAAAGAGCUGGAAGGAAAGCUCUCAUUAGAGAGGCUUUCUCUCAGUUGUUCAAAAGCCUCCACUUGGCUAAUAGAGGUUUUAGAGAGCUCUUGCUUCUGGUUAGGGUUGCUCUACUUGACUUGAUCUAGACCUGAGGCAGAAUGGAAAAAGGGCAGGCUUAAAAUAAAUUAUGUCUGAGUAAACACAAUUGCUAGAGAUGUGCAGGAUUUUGUUCUGUAAGGUGGCUUAG